CCUCUUCCUAGUUCCGCGCGUUCGGAGCACUGUGCCGUCGCUGCUGCGCUCUCCAGUGCCGGGCGCUUGGGAGAUUUUUCGCUGGCAAUUUGGGGCCGAGGGGAGGGCAUUUAGGCCUAAUUCGUUUGUUUUAGUAUUGGAUUAGGGGCCCAACUUCUCCUCUCAAAGGCCGAGCAGGGAAGGUUUCGCAUGGCUACGUGCUUGCUAGUUCGUGACUCUGACUCCCAUAGAGUAUCCGAGUCUCCGCGUUCACAGUUUUAAGAUUCCCUGGAAGGGAUGUUGGUUAGGACCUCAUUCCUUCGUGUAAUUCCGAUGCAGUGAUUACAUCUCUCUGCCCUCCGCUGGGCUGUAAUGUCCGGCCCGAGGCCUUACUGUUUGAGCCUAAGUUUAUUCAACUGUAAGAUCAGGAUAACAUCUUGCUGAGCAUUAACAGAACUAGUGUAACUAUCGCCUAGUAGAAUGCCCCAAGCAUUUGUUAGAUGUCUUUAUCUUUCCUCCCUACUCGAGUUCCAUUCUGUGGAUGCAUUCUGGAUGAAACCACUGGGGCAGGAAGUUUGAAGAUGGAGAUCUUAAAUUUCAGCGGCUUAUUCACAGAAGAGAGGAAAAGGAUAAGACAAAUCUUGGGGCAAAUCCACACCUGGAUGAAGAUGAACCAUCAGGGGAGAGAAGACGAGAGAAGUAGGAGGCAAACCUGAAGACUGGUUCAAAAUGUAAGGAAUGAUAAUUGAUAAACAUAAGUGAAUGAUUGGAAUGAUUAGUAUUUAGAGCUGGAGAAUACAUAAAUGAUCAUUCUAUCUAGUUCCUUUAUUUUACAUUGGGGAACUGAAGCUUUGAGAGAAGUGGAUUUUGCUUCCUUCUUAGUAGAGCUUGUUUUUCUAUACAUUAGCUUACACCAACUUAACUUCCCAAGGAAAAUGGCUGAUGCCAACCUCUAAUGAAUUACCAAGUUAAAAAUAAAAAUAAAUUCAGUUCUUCUUUUUACAUGUAUUUUUUGCCUUGAUGAGAUUAUUGAAUUUACGUAGUGAUAUUCUAAUGCCAAAUCCUAUGAUCUUCAAAACAUUUCUUAGCAUAUAUGAUCCAUGUAUUCUAAGACAUUCAUUUACCCCUAGACUGUGAGUAAAAAGAGCUCAGUAGAGGGGUUGAAGUUUAAUAACAAAGUUUCUGUGACAUCAACUAAAGGAACCAGACAUUAUGGUAAAGUGCUUAGCAUAUUCAAUGAAUCCCUAUAACAUUCUGAAAAUAUUACUAUUGUCCUCAUUUAAAAAAACUAGUAAUACUUAAUUUGGGAACACUACAUUGCAUAUGGAUAAAACUGGGAAGUUUGGUUUGAUCGGUGUUGACAUGUGCACACCCAUUGCCUUGGUCCAUUCAUGCUGCUAUAACAAAAUACUACAGAUUGGGUAGCUUAUAAACAACAGUUAUUUAUUUCUCACAAUUCUGGAGGCUAGAGUCCAAGAUGAAGGGACAGUCCUCUUCCUUGUUCAUAGCUGGCCUGUUCUAGUUGUGUACUUAUAUGUUCGAAGGGGUGAGGGAGUUCUUUGGAACUCUCUUAUAAGAGCACUUAAUCUCAUUGAACAAAUAAACAGUCAAGGGUGUUAGACAAACCUACCCUUGUUUAUUAGGUACCUCAUGAUUUAAGCACUUCCCAAAGGCCCCAAUUCCUAAUACCAUCAUUUUUUGGAGGUUAGGAUUUCAGCAUAUGAGUUUUCCAAGGACACAUUCAGACUCAUUAAACCAUGACCACAAUCAAGAUAACAAUCAUACAUUACCCCCAGCUGUUCUCUUCUGCUCUUUUGUAAUCCAUCUGUCCUCUAGCUCCAUCCCCAGACAGCCACUCUCUGUCAAUAUAGAUUAGUUUGCACUUCCUUGAAUUUAAAUUAAUGGAAUCAUACACUAUGUUCUCUUUUUGCCUAGCUUCUUUGACUCAGCAUAAUUUUGAAAUUCAUUUUUGUUGCUUCUAUGAACAGGUUGUAGUUUGUUUUUAUUACUGGAUAGUAUUCCAGUAUUGGAUUUGCCACAAUUUGUUUAUACAGUCGUCUGCUGAUGAGCAUUUGGAUUUCUAGUUUGGGCUGUUAAAAAUAAAGCUGCUGUGAACAUUU
Long non-coding RNA from Manis pentadactyla (Chinese pangolin), 2099 nucleotides. RefSeq lists it as uncharacterized. The record is from RefSeq and is a predicted model, not a curated record. Lineage: Eukaryota; Metazoa; Chordata; Mammalia; Pholidota; Manidae. The transcript has 2 exons.